RNAcentral lists this ribosomal RNA (460 nucleotides) under uncultured bacterium. RNAcentral describes it as "partial 16S ribosomal RNA". It matches the Rfam family "Bacterial small subunit ribosomal RNA", at positions 338 to 795 of the family's 1533-position model. The record is from RNAcentral.
CCUACGGGAGGCAGCAGUGAGGAAUAUUGGUCAAUGGACGAGAGUCUGAACCAGCCAAGUAGCGUGAAGGAUGACUGCCCUAUGGGUUGUAAACUUCUUUUAUAUGGGAAUAAAAUGUUCCACGUGUGGGAUUUUGUAUGUACCAUAUGAAUAAGGAUCGGCUAACUCCGUGCCAGCAGCCGCGGUAAUACGGAGGAUCCGAGCGUUAUCCGGAUUUAUUGGGUUUAAAGGGAGCGUAGGUGGAUUGUUAAGUCAGUCGUGAAAUUUUGUGGCUCAACCAUAGAAUUGCAGUUGAAACUGGCAUUCUUGAGUACACGAGAGGUAGGCGGAAUUCGUGGUGUAGCGGUGAAAUGCUUAGAUAUCACGAAGAACUCCGAUUGCAAAGGCAGCUCACUGGACUGCAACUGACACUGAGGCUCGAAAGUGUGGGUAUCAAACAGGAUUAGAUACCCCUGUAGUC